RNAcentral lists this ribosomal RNA (742 nucleotides) under uncultured bacterium. RNAcentral describes it as "bacterial SSU rRNA". It matches the Rfam family "Bacterial small subunit ribosomal RNA", at positions 8 to 796 of the family's 1533-position model. The record is from RNAcentral.
AGAGUUUGAUCCUGGCUCAGAGCGAACGCUGGCGGCAGGCCUAAAACAUGCAAGUCGAACGCCGUAGCAAUACGGAGUGGCAGACGGGUGAGUAACACGUGGGAACGUGCCUUUUGGUUCGGAACAACCCAGGGAAACUUGGGCUAAUACCGGAUAAGCCCUUCGGGGGAAAGAUUUAUCGCCAGAAGAUCGGCCCGCGUCUGAUUAGCUAGUUGGUGGGGUAACGGCCCACCAAGGCUACGAUCAGUAGCUGGUCUGAGAGGAUGAUCAGCCACACUGGGACUGAGACACGGCCCAGACUCCUACGGGAGGCAGCAGUUAGGAAUCUUGGACAAUGGGCGCAAGCCUGAUCCAGCCAUGCCGCGUGAGUGAUGAAGGCCUUAGGGUUGUAAAGCUCUUUCAGCGGGGAAGAUAAUGACGGUACCCGCAGAAGAAGCCCCGGCUAACUUCGUGCCAGCAGCCGCGGUAAUACGAAGGGGGCUAGCGUUGCUCGGAAUCACUGGGCGUAAAGCGCACGUAGGCGGCUUUCUAAGUCAGGGGUGAAAUCCUGGAGCUCAACUCCAGAACUGCCUUUGAUACUGGAGAGCUUGAGUCCGGGAGAGGUGAGUGGAACUCCGAGUGUAGAGGUGAAAUUCGUAGAUAUUCGGAAGAACACCAGUGGCGAAGGCGGCUCACUGGCCCGGUACUGACGCUGAGGUGCGAAAGCGUGGGGAGCAAACAGGAUUAGAUACCCUAGUAGUCC